AUACGUAGGGCGCAAGCGUUGUCCGGAAUUAUUGGGCGUAAAGAGCUCGUAGGCGGUUUGUCGCGUCUGGUGUGAAAACUCAAGGCUCAACCUUGAGCUUGCAUCGGGUACGGGCAGACUAGAGUGCGGUAGGGGUGACUGGAAUUCCUGGUGUAGCGGUGGAAUGCGCAGAUAUCAGGAGGAACACCGAUGGCGAAGGCAGGUCACUGGGCCGCAACUGACGCUGAGGAGCGAAAGCAUGGGGAGCGAACAGGAUUAGAUACCCUGGUAGUCCAUGCCGUAAACGUUGGGCACUAGGUGUGGGGCUCAUUCCACGAGUUCCGUGCCGCAGCAAACGCAUUAAGUGCCCCGCCUGGGGAGUACGGCCGCAAGGCUAAA
This 378-nucleotide ribosomal RNA is filed under the name uncultured bacterium. RNAcentral describes it as "bacterial SSU rRNA". It matches the Rfam family "Bacterial small subunit ribosomal RNA", at positions 523 to 898 of the family's 1533-position model. The record is from RNAcentral.